Peromyscus maniculatus bairdii (prairie deer mouse) is the source of this 698-nucleotide non-coding RNA. The record is from RefSeq and is a predicted model, not a curated record. NCBI's taxonomy places the organism in Eukaryota, Metazoa, Chordata, Mammalia, Rodentia, Cricetidae.
CGGACCUCGGCGAGGGGCCCCGCCCGCCAGUUGGUCGCCUCCUGCAGCACCCUGGUGGCCCAGGGUCGGCGGGGUGGCGGCUCCGGGGAUCCCGGGCGCAGCCUACACCUGGGACAAUGAGCAGGAACCCAGGUUGCCUGACCACCCGUGGUCUAUGCCUGCCUGUCUGCCUGCCUGGACUCCUUUCUCCGACAGGGAGUGGUGAGAAUAGAACUCAAGGGCCUAUCUUCCAGCAGCUUUCUGAGGAAGGAACGGGUAUGGAGGACAUUUGAGACCUGGGAGCCUGCAGAUGUCGCUAUUCUACCCUCAUCCUUCUCGGAUUUAUCACGUGCUUGGCUGGAGUGCUGGUCCCUGUGGCGGCCAGAAGAGGGCAUCAGAUCCCCGGGAACCGGAAUUACAGACAAGACCUUGUGAGCUGCCAUUGGAGACAGGGAGGGUGUGGUGGUUUGAAUAAGAAUGGCCCCCAUAGAAUCAAGCUGAAUGCUUAAGGAGUGGCAUUAGAAGAUGUGGCCUUGUUGGAGCAGGGGUAGCCUUGUUGGAGGACGUGUCUCUCUGCGGGUAGGCUUUGCGGUUUCAAAACUCCAAGCCAGGCCCAGUGGCUCUCUUUCUUUCUGCUGCCUUUGGAUCAGGAUGUAGAACUGUCAGCUCCUUCUCCAGCACCACGUCUGCCUGCAUGCCACCAUGCUUCCUGCCAUGAU